Molecule: long non-coding RNA, 322 nt
Organism: Homo sapiens (human)
Lineage: Eukaryota; Metazoa; Chordata; Mammalia; Primates; Hominidae
Exons: 3
Source: RefSeq, a predicted model, not a curated record
CUCUCCUUCCUGGGGACAGGACGGUGGGACUGGCAGGCUAAGGCUGUACAUGAGAGGGAGCCGACACUGGACUCCUGAUUUCACCAGACAGGUAAAGUGUGACUGAGAGAGGAGAAGCGACCUUCUCAACGCCCCAAGACCAGUGGGUGGCAGAGCCGGAUGUUGAACUCACAUUUCUUUGACACCCAAGCCUGCACUUGUUGAACCGCCCAGGCAGGCAGGUUUCUAACUCUACACCUCUAGGAAACUGAGGAUGGGAGAAUGAGGAACUCAAACCUUCUACAAGGUUCUCAGCACCUGGAGAUCCGCAGCCAGUUUUCAU